GGAUUAGAUACCCUAUUAUUCUAAAUUUAAAUUUUUUAAGCUUGAGUAGUAUUAGUUGGGAUCUUGAAACUUAAAGAAUUUGGCGGUAUUUUAGUCUAUUUAGAGGAAUCUGUUUUUUAAUCGAUAAUCCACGUUGGACCUUACUUAGUCUUAUUAAUUUGUAUACCGCCGUUGUUGAAUAUCUUUUUAGAGUUAAAAUUUUCUUGAUAUUUGUUAAGUAGUUAUUCAGGUCAAGGUGCAGUUAAUGAUUAAGUUGAAAUGGGUUACAAUAUUUUUAGGUAUAUGAAUUGUUAAUUGUUAAUUAAUAUGAAGGUGAAUUUAAUUGUAAUAUUAUAAAGAUUGUUGAUAUGAUUAUAGCGCUAAAAUAUGUACAUAUCGCCCGUCGCUCUCGUUGUUUUAAUAAAAUGAGAUAAG
Molecule: ribosomal RNA, 414 nt
Filed under: Xestoblatta sp. 1 DJGI-2006
Lineage: Eukaryota; Metazoa; Arthropoda; Insecta; Blattodea; Blattellidae
Description: partial 12S ribosomal RNA
Source: RNAcentral